AGAGCGAACGCUGGCGGCAUGCUUAACACAUGCAAGUCGCACGGGCAGGGGAAACCCUGUCAGUGGCGGACGGGUGAGUAACGCGUAGGUAUCUAUCCUUGGGUGGGGGACAACUGUGGGAAACUACAGCUAAUACCGCAUGAUGACCGAGGUCCAAAGGCCGCAAGGCCGCCUGGGGAGGAGCCUGCGUACGAUUAGCUAGUUGGUGGGGUAACUGCCUACCAAGGCGACGAUCGUUAGCUGGUCUGAGAGGAUGAUCAGCCACAUUGGGACUGAGACACGGCCCAAACUCCUACGGGAGGCAGCAGUGGGGAAUAUUGGACAAUGGGCGCAAGCCUGAUCCAGCAAUGCCGCGUGGGUGAAGAAGGUCUUCGGAUUGUAAAGCCCUUUCGACGGGGACGAUGAUGACGGUACCCGUAGAGAAGCCCGGCUAACUCGUGCCAGCAGCCGC
Molecule: ribosomal RNA, 451 nt
Filed under: uncultured bacterium
Lineage: Bacteria
Description: SSU rRNA
Rfam family: Bacterial small subunit ribosomal RNA
Source: RNAcentral